This 733-nucleotide long non-coding RNA is filed under the name Elaeis guineensis (African oil palm). RNAcentral describes it as "long non-coding RNA (EGUI_LNC008422)". The record is from RNAcentral. Lineage: Eukaryota; Viridiplantae; Streptophyta; Magnoliopsida; Arecales; Arecaceae.
UUGCCUUAGUAAAAAUAUUUUCUUCAUGAAAAGACUUUUCGUAUGGUAACGAAAUUGAAUGGUGCUUUCUUUCCUAGAAUGCAUUUGGUCAGUCUGAAAUGGCAUCAGAACCAAUGGGGGGAAAAAUAGGAGAAGAAUAUCUAGAUAAAUUUGAAGUAGAACUACUAUUUUAAGUUGUUCUUGGAUGACCUUAAGUUGCGUAGCCAUUAUGCUAGUGUAUGCCGUUGUAAAGAUUGUUUUAGCUUAAGCAUAAAUCGUUGAUAGCCCUGAGAUCAUCUAAAAUAGCUAUCAAGAUGAACUUUUUAUCUAGGACUUCGUCAACUAGUUCUUCCUCUAGGGGUGAUGUUACUAACUUAGAAGGGGCCAUUGUUGAAUUAUCAAGAAAAUAAAUAGAAAAAUUGGUAGUCCCAAAGGUUCCAAGAAGCUCAAUUUAUGGGAUUAAUUGGAUUAUCCUAGACAACAUAAUCAAAAUAAUUGAAAAGACAAUAUCAAUUUCAAAUGAUCAUGAAAUAAUUCCAAUUAUAACCCAAGAAAUCCUAAGGAGCCACAAGUCAAAAUAUGAAUUCCUACAUAUAGAAUUAAUCCAAGUAAUAGUAAAACCCCUCAUUAGGAGAGGUUGGAAUUCAGCUAUUCUGUUAUAUUUAAAAGAUGGAAGAUUCAUAGAUUAGCAAGAUGCCUUAUUAGGAAUAGUUGAGUCAAACUUAUUUGAAGGUCUAAUUUAUUUUAAUUGUAG